GUACUCGCUUCGGUGGUACAUAUACAAAAAUUGGAACGAUACAGAGUAGAUUAUCACGGACCCUGCGCAAGGAUGACACGUAAAAAAAAAAGAAAAGAUAAAAAGGA
This is a small nuclear RNA of Schistocerca piceifrons (Central American locust), 107 nucleotides long. NCBI's taxonomy places the organism in Eukaryota, Metazoa, Arthropoda, Insecta, Orthoptera, Acrididae. The record is from RefSeq and is a predicted model, not a curated record.